Molecule: ribosomal RNA, 373 nt
Filed under: uncultured bacterium
Lineage: Bacteria
Description: bacterial SSU rRNA
Rfam family: Bacterial small subunit ribosomal RNA
Source: RNAcentral
ACGUAGGGGGCAAGCGUUGUCCGGAAUCAUUGGGCGUAAAGCGCGUGUAGGCGGUCCGAUAAGUCCGCUGUGAAAGUCGGGGGCUCAACCCUCGGAUGCCGGUGGAUACUGUCGGGCUUGAGUACGGAAGAGGCGAGUGGAAUUCCUGGUGUAGCGGUGAAAUGCGCAGAUAUCAGGAGGAACACCAAUUGCGAAGGCAGCUCGCUGGGACGUUACUGACGCUGAGACGCGAAAGCGUGGGGAGCAAACAGGAUUAGAUACCCUGGUAGUCCACGCUGUAAACGAUGGGCACUAGGUGUGGGGGGUGUCGACUCCCUCCGUGCCGAAGCUAACGCAUUAAGUGCCCCGCCUGGGGAGUACGGCCGCAAGGCUA